UGUAUUUAUCAUCAAAGGAGAAAACAAAAUAAAGCAGAGAACAUGGAAAAUACAGUCUAUGAAGAUCCUCAGGCUGUGAAUACAGACCUCCCUCUGCAGCAGAGACCAACAAAUGUUGCCCCAGCUGGUCCUCUACCCGACAUCUACUCCUUGUUGGGGCCUCCCAUCGUCUCUGAAGCACCCACUCAGCCCAGAGACAACGCUCAGCCAGAGAGCCUGUAUGCAACGGUAGAAAAACUUCCAAAGUCCUGAAACAGUUCACUAUGAUGUCUUCAACACACUUCUCUGUGUGGAAUGACCACUUUAGUUUAGUUUAGUUUAGUAUCAGUGAAGGACUUCUGACUGCGUCUUCUUUUUCUGUGCGUCGGUCGUUGACUAGCUACUUGAGUCAUGCAAUGAAGUUAAAAGACCCAACUACAGUCAGAUUGCUGAUUUUAUUAUGAAUUAUAACAACAAUCACCUUCUGACUGGAAUCAUUUGCCAGAUAACCUGUGAACAAUUAACUCUUUUCAUACCUUUUCUGCUUCUGAUUGUACAGUAAUCUUUGUAAUUACCAUCAUUAGUGUCAAUACUUACAAUGUUAUUAGUUAAAUGUGAUGUGAAAUCUC
Labrus bergylta (ballan wrasse) is the source of this 608-nucleotide non-coding RNA. The record is from RefSeq and is a predicted model, not a curated record. NCBI's taxonomy places the organism in Eukaryota, Metazoa, Chordata, Actinopteri, Labriformes, Labridae.